GACGAACGCUGGCGGCGUGCUUAACACAUGCAAGUCGAACGGAAGGGCCCUGCUUUUGUGGGGUGCUCGAGUGGCGAACGGGUGAGUAACACGUGAGUAACCUGCCCUUGACUUUGGGAUAACUUCAGGAAACUGGGGCUAAUACCGGAUAGGAGCUCCUGCUGCAUGGUGGGGGUUGGAAAGUUUCGGCGGUUGGGGAUGGACUCGCGGCUUAUCAGCUUGUUGGUGGGGUAGUGGCUUACCAAGGCUUUGACGGGUAGCCGGCCUGAGAGGGUGACCGGCCACAUUGGGACUGAGAUACGGCCCAGACUCCUACGGGAGGCAGCAGUGGGGAAUAUUGCACAAUGGGCGGAAGCCUGAUGCGGCAACGCCGCGUGCGGGAUGACGGUCUUCGGGUUGUAAACCGCUUUCGCCUGUGACGAAGCGUGAGUGACGGUAAUGGGUAAAGAAGCACCGGCUAACUACGUG
RNAcentral lists this ribosomal RNA (468 nucleotides) under uncultured bacterium. Its description in RNAcentral is "partial 16S ribosomal RNA". It matches the Rfam family "Bacterial small subunit ribosomal RNA", at positions 28 to 507 of the family's 1533-position model. The record is from RNAcentral.